UUGCCCAGCUUCUGUGUUGGUCCAGGGCAAUGAGAGGCCAUUGGGACUUCCGAGUGCUCCAUAGCUAGCACUGGCCAGCAACCAGGCGAGGGGCCCCUUCCUCUGCAGCCAGAUGUAAAGGAUGUCUCCCCUGGCUCUCUGGGUAUUUCAGAUGCCCGUUCUAGUUUCAGGGCUACCUGGGCACCAGGUCGUCAGGGCUAGUUCAGCCGGCUAAGUAGACCUCCAGACCGAACAGCUCCCAGCCAAUGCUUCCAAAGCCCUUUCUCCGUGCUUUUCCUUGGCGGCUCCCUGCCUUGGAGAGGAACCGGUGCUGUGAGGGAUCACCUCCAGAGUCUCCUGGGGGGUGGCUUCCCCCAGAUAAUGACUGCUGUGGUUCCAACCUCACAGAACCCUGGAGUUUCUGGAAAGUUCUGUGGUUCUGUUGAAAGCAUAGAUGAGCCAUGGCACGUGUGGGCAUAUAACGCAAGCAGCCAGGUGUCAGGCAACCCCUGACCCAAGCAGAGGCGGUAGGGCACCAGAAGCUUCGGUCCAACCCAAUGCCGUCACAGCCACAGCCUCGUGAGGUGUGAGGACAUCACCUUUAGCCCCAUGUCUCAAACAUGAACUCACCCUCCAAGGAGCUGGUCACUUGCCAGUGAAGUAACUGAGACAUGGUCCUGAGGCCAGAGCUCUGCCUUAGAGAUGCUGGGAUCGGGGUCAUCGGGUCCCCAGGCUCGUCGGGUUGGUGCUGUAGAACCACCUCCACGUAGCCCCUGUGCUGUCACAGCUCACUUGUGGAUUUCUAGUGCCCUUUUCCAUAUGAGCACUCUGUCUGACAAGUGGCCGGCUGGGAAGGAGUCAAAAAGGGGAGUGGGUGGGUGUCCAGAAUCCAGCAGGGAUGCGUGUUGCAGCCAAGGGGAGUUGAGUCCUCAGAGAGCAAUGCGGCCUUGUUUCAAUAAAAACCGUGCCUUUUACAAAGAGAAAAUGCAGCCGAGCAGCUGAUUCCCUAAACUUGAACCACUUACUAGUGCCUUGCUAGACAGACAGACAGACAGACAGGGGAGCGUGGAGAAGGGACACUUAUUCGGGUCCUAUGAGCCCAAUGAGUGUCUUUACGUCUGACUUCAAGCAGAAAGUGCAGAGCAGAACCUGAGACCCAGAGGCCCCCACAGCAGGGACAACUGCCUAUUUGUGCGGCCCUCCCUGAGACAGGACAGCUCUAGAGACCUGACAAGCCCAGAAGUGCUCUGCCUGAACCUCACUAUCAGGGGCGAGCUGAGCAGCUGGGUUUCCAGCGGAUGCCGAGCAGGUGGUUAGGGUGGUUAAGGCAGAUGCUGCCGCAAGCCAUCCCUAGCCUCACUCGCUCCCUUGCUCGCCCGAUUCAUUCCAUCCUCAUCUGGUUCCGUCCCCUUCUCCAGCAGUCACUUCCUCUGAGCGCACCUCAGCAUUUGUGACUGCUGAACUCUGACCUUAGAGCCUAAGACUUGAGGAGGUGUGUCACAGGAAGAACCAGGUUGGCUUGGUGGCUGGCUGCAGAUACUUAAUCCCCACCUUGUUUGGGCUUCAGGUGUGGAAAUCCUUGUCCUGAAGAGUCAGGUUUCUACUCUGCUGAUGGGCCUGUGCCACAGCCCACGCAGCAGGCCGGGCGGCUGGCCUCUUCCUCCAAAGCUUUAUUCAGAGGCUAAGACUACAAAAACAAGAUGUGGUUAGAAAGGCGGCCUCCCCUCCGCCCCGGAGAUUCCAGAAACAUUUUGGAAUGCAGUGUCCUUGCCAUGAGGCCAUUGUGUGGCAGGCAGGCUGUCUUACCCUGCCCUGCCAACUAGAGCUUCUGGCUUUAAAAGCAGCCAGCAAUGAUAGAUCUUGCGUUGCGGCAGUGAGCUGCUCUGAUGGGCGGCCUAGUGGAUCUCCAAAGUCAGCAUCAUGACUCCCCUUCAGUCCUUCCUGUCACGCUCCUCCCUGCGUGGACCCCUCGCUUCAGCAGUCCCUACUUCUCACAGAGGAGACUGUCUGCAUCCAGUGCUCAGGGCAGCCUGUUUGUCUAAAGUCAGGCAGUGUGAAAGGAACAAAGAGUGCAAUUCCACCCUGAAUUCAUCAGCACUUGCCGCUGAGGCUUUCUCCGGCAAAUCCUACUCAUAUUUUGGUUCAAGGUUUUGAUGCUGAGCCAGGGCCCUGCUGCCACCAUUAGGUGAGAGUGGUAGCUACAUCCCAGGUUUCAAGAUCUUAACGCGGUCCACUCAGCUCUGACAGGGAGUCCAGGGGCUGCAGGCAGGGAAGCUGGGCACUGAGACAGGGUUCUGGGGGCGGGGGAGGGGCGGAUCCCAAGACCACCCACCUCUCCUGGAAGAGAGAGCCUUGUAAGGAAUGACUUAUCCUGUUCAGUUGUGACUGUGGUUGUUCAAUAAACCUCCAGACUUUCUCU
RNAcentral lists this long non-coding RNA (2398 nucleotides) under Mus musculus (house mouse). RNAcentral's name for it is "long non-coding RNA chr11:57785100-57787498". The record is from RNAcentral. Lineage: Eukaryota; Metazoa; Chordata; Mammalia; Rodentia; Muridae.